This 398-nucleotide ribosomal RNA is filed under the name uncultured bacterium. RNAcentral describes it as "partial 16S ribosomal RNA". It matches the Rfam family "Bacterial small subunit ribosomal RNA", at positions 523 to 918 of the family's 1533-position model. The record is from RNAcentral.
AUACGUAGGGGGCAAGCGUUGUCCGGAAUUACUGGGCGUAAAGAGCUCGUAGGUGGUUUGUCGCGUCGUCUGUGAAAUUCCGGGGCUUAACUCCGGGCGUGCAGGCGAUACGGGCAUAACUUGAGUACUGUAGGGGAGACUGGAAUUCCUGGUGUAGCGGUGAAAUGCUCAGAUAUCAGGAGGAACACCGGUGGCGAAGGCGGGUCUCUGGGGAGUAACUGACGCUGAGGAGCGAAAGCAUGGGUAGCGAACAGGAUUAGAUACCCUGGGAGUCCAUGCCGUAAACGGUGGGCGCUAGGUGUAGGGGUCUUCCACGACUUCUGUGCCGUAGCUAACGCAUUAAGCGCCCCGCCUGGGGAGUACGGCCGCAAGGCUAAAACUCAAAUGAAUUGACGGGG